GCUUACACAUGCAAGUCGAACGAUGAAGGAGAGCUUGCUCUCUGGAUUAUGGCGAACGGGUGAGUAACACGUGAGCAACCUGCCCCUGACUCUGGGAUAAGCGCUGGAAACGGCGUCUAAUACUGGAUAUGAGCUCCUGCCGCAUGGUGGGGGUUGGAAAGAUUUUUUGGUUGGGGAUGGGCUCGCGGCCUAUCAGCUUGUUGGUGAGGUAAUGGCUCACCAAGGCGUCGACGGGUAGCCGGCCUGAGAGGGUGACCGGCCACACUGGGACUGAGACACGGCCCAAACUCCUACGGGAGGCAGCAGUGGGGAAUAUUGCACAAUGGGCGGAAGCCUGAUGCAGCAACGCCGCGUGAGGGAUGACGGCCUUCGGGUUGUAAACCUCUUUUAGCAGGGAAGAAGCGAAAGUGACGGUACCUGCAGAAAAAGCACCGGCUAACUACGUGCCAGCAGCCGCGGUAAUACGUAGGGUGCAAGCGUUAUCCGGAAUUAUUGGGCGUAAAGAGCUCGUAGGCGGUUUGUCGCGUCUGCUGUGAAAUCCCGAGGCUCAACCUCGGGUCUGCAGUGGGUACGGGCAGACUAGAGUGCGGUAGGGGAGAUUGGAAUUCCUGGUGUAGCGGUGGAAUGCGCAGAUAUCAGGAGGAACACCGAUGGCGAAGGCAGAUCUCUGGGCCGUAAC
Molecule: ribosomal RNA, 679 nt
Filed under: Microbacterium sp. NAS2(10)
Lineage: Bacteria; Bacillati; Actinomycetota; Actinomycetes; Micrococcales; Microbacteriaceae
Description: bacterial SSU rRNA
Rfam family: Bacterial small subunit ribosomal RNA
Source: RNAcentral